GAUCCACUUUAUUCUGAUGGAUUGUUAAAAAAUUUUUGGGGUGGUUAUGGCUUUUUAAGACAGUAGCCAGCCAACAAUAUUAAUUUAUAAUAUAACUAUUAAUUAGCUUUAAAAACUAAAGUGGCCAAGUUAGUGCCAGCAGCCGCGGUCAAACUAAAACUUCUUUUUAAUUUUUAAAAAUGUUAUAACCUAAAAUUUUUUCUAAUGGUGAAAUAUAGAAACUAAUAACUCCCACGCAACGUGCCCUACAGAAAUUAAGAUAAAAAACUAGGAUUAGAUACCCUACUAUUCUUAACCUAAAACUAUUUUUAAAGCACUAAUAUUAAAUUAAUAAAAACUUAAAGAUUAUGGCGGUUGAAUUUAAUUUCAGGGGAACUUACCUAAUAAUAGAUAACCACCAAGAAAUUCUUCUUAUAUUUAAAGCUUGUAUACCGUCGUUAUCAGAGCAUAUAUAAAAUAAGUUCAAAAUAAUAUUUAUUAAAAUAACAGAUCAUGGUGCAGCUAAUAUAUAAGUUCAAGGCGAGUUAUAAUAACAAUUUUCUUAUAAUAAUUUUUUAACUAAAAAAUUUGAAGUUGACUUGAAAGUAAUUUUUAAAAUUUUUAAAAAAUGAAUAUACAAAAUUCAGUGCACAAAUCGCCCGUCACUCUCUUUAGUAUAAAUGAGAUAAGUCGUAACAUAGUAGAAGUAGCUGAAGCUGUUUCUGUUUUAGU
Molecule: non-coding RNA, 711 nt
Filed under: Ambigolimax valentianus
Lineage: Eukaryota; Metazoa; Mollusca; Gastropoda; Stylommatophora; Limacidae
Source: RNAcentral